UACGAAUAAUAUGCUGACUAAAGUUUAUUAACACUAAAGGACAAAAAGACCCUCUGAAGCUUUAUAGGGAUAAAACUUGGGUAACAUUCUCAAUACAAAUAUUCUUAUUGCAUGCCAGCUAAAGUAGUAAAUUAUUGGUUUUCUCCUAAGACCACUGUUUAAUUGGGGCGAUAACCUUAUCAACAGCCACCUAAGGUGAACAAAGCGAUACAAGGAUCCUAAACUUUUGACCAACUAAUAAGUGCAAAGAUACAUGUUUCGCUUAAUGGCCCAACAAGUCCUUCCCAGUACUUAAAUGCUAUCUUAAUGAGCUUUAAAUUAAUUUACCCGAGUUAAGCUACUCUACGGAUAACAGGCUUAAUUUCCGCAAUAUUAAAGGUCACAUUAUCACGAAAAAUGUACCUCGAUGUCGGCUUAUCAUCACUAAAAUAGGUAGCUUAAUUAUUGGUGGGAGUGCUCAUCCCGUAAAUUGGUUCGUGAGCUGGGUUCAAUACGAUGG
Molecule: ribosomal RNA, 499 nt
Filed under: Cladocopium sp. C1
Lineage: Eukaryota; Dinophyceae; Suessiales; Symbiodiniaceae
Description: partial 23S ribosomal RNA
Rfam family: Bacterial large subunit ribosomal RNA
Source: RNAcentral